Molecule: ribosomal RNA, 253 nt
Filed under: uncultured bacterium
Lineage: Bacteria
Description: partial 16S ribosomal RNA
Rfam family: Bacterial small subunit ribosomal RNA
Source: RNAcentral
UACGUAGGCAGCGAGCGUUGUUCGGAGUUACUGGGCGUAAAGGGUGUGUAGGCGGUUGUUUAAGUUUGGUGUGAAAUCUCCCGGCUCAACUGGGAGGGUGCGCCGAAUACUGAAUGACUAGAGUGCGGGAGAGGAAAGUGGAAUUCCUGGUGUAGCGGUGAAAUGCGUAGAUAUCUGGAGGAACACCGGUGGCGAAGGCGGCAUCCUGGACCGACACUGACGCUGAGGCGCGAAAGCUAGGGGAGCAAACGGG